AAUAAGUCCCCAAAUAUCAAUACCCACCAAACCUCCAAAACUCCAUCGAUAUUCCCAAAGCCUUGUUGUCUUCUUUGCCAUACCAUAAGAAAAAGUACCCAGAUCUGAAAAUUGGGUUUGAGUUAAUGUUUUAGAUCUGAAAAUUUCCCAGAAAAACUUUAUGGAUGAAAUAUUGGAUGGUUUUAUAGUGCUUGAAAUCCGGUUGCUUUGAUUCCCAAAUCGCACCUCGACUUCUCGACUGCUUGAAGGGAAAGCUAAACCCAAAUUCACCUCGACUGCUCGACUAUUCGACUGCUUGAAGCCAAAAAUUGGGAAAAGACGAAAGUCAAAGUUUGCAACUGAAAUAACAAUACAAAUAGGUACUCCUUGAACAACCACUUUCGUUACUUUCAUGUGUUUCAUAUUUCAUGAGCUUUCUUUACAAAUUCUUGAUUUUACCUUCUAAUGGGGUUUAAUUUUCAUAGUGAUUAGUAGCUCUCUAUAGUUGUAGAUUUGGUUGUAUUUGGGUAAAUAGGGUUGUAUACUGCUACUACAUCUCUCAUGGUUUUUUCCGAUUGUUUUUUCAAUUUCUCAACAGCAGAUUUGUCGAACUGUAGAAUUCUUUGUUUACUGGUAGUGUAAGAAGAAAUCAUUAUUGGUAGCUGAGGAGAAAUUGUUGUUGGUAGCUAAGGAAAAAAUUGUUAUUGGUAAGUAGUUUUUAAUUUAAAUUUUGGAUAAUUGAAUUUGCUGGUAGUGUACUUGUAUACUUCUUAUUUAAGAUUUUUUAUAAUUUUAAUUUUCUCUGUAUUUUCUUCCUUCUCCAUUCUCAAGGCUACUCCUCGGAUUAGGGUUCAGUUUUGGGGUUUUCUUAUAUAAUUGUUGGUUGAGUGCUCUCCAACUUCUAUGUUGUAGGAUGAUUUGAAUUAUUGGGGGUUUGAGGAUCCGAGUUUGUUUGAUUAAGAGGGUUUAUAAUUUUAUGCUUUUAUUUUGGGUUUAAACUAGGAUUUCAUGUAUCUUGAAUCUCAACAAAUUAGCUGCUUUAAGUAACUUUUGAAAAUGCAUAUCAUUGUUAUGACAGCGAUAUUGAUUUCUACAAGGAAAUGGCUUCAGUUUUACAAAUAAAAGUUUCAGGUAUAUGCACAGAACAAGUAGGAACAUAUCAUUACUGGAAACAUUGCUAUAGCAGAAUCAUAGUCGUUAUAAGUAUGAAAAAUGGGUUAAACGACGUAUAAAGUCAAUCAUCUAGAAGUCCUAGCAAUUAAGAAAUUAAGAGAGGUCUGCUGCAUUUCUCCUAUAAUAGAAGUAUGGAAAUAUGGAAAUGUUUAGAAGGAAAGCAAAGUAAAGGACCGAAGUAACGUGAGAUUGGUAACAAAAAGAUACACCAUGGCUCAUACUACCAAACAUGACACCAUCACCAACUGCCAUAUUUGUAGGUAUACCAAGUAAAUCCAUUUACAGUAAUAUGCUUGCUGAUGUAUAUCCAAUAGUAAGAACAUUUUUGAAUCGUUUGAACAUUCAAAAUAACACUAAUAACAACAGACGGUGCUCAGAAUUUAUGCUUUACUAUUUGUAACUCCUUGAGUUCAUCCACUUUAAGCUUUGGUCAAAGUCAAAUUAGUAUGUACCUUGGUUUAUUGAGUUAAUUCUGUUGAUUUACUUUUAUCGUAUAGGAUUUUCAUGGAUAAUAUAGAUAAAAAUUGGAUGUAUCUCUUAAGAUGGACGGAUCCCUGGAGUGAAUGAUUUCCUUGAUAAGGCAUUUGAAUGAGCUUCCCAAGGAAAUGAAAUAUUAUGCCCUUGCAAAAAAUACAUUAAUCGUUAUUGGCAUUAUAGAAAUGUGGUGGAGGAUCACUUGGUUGUUAAUGUUUGUUGAUGGUUACACCGAAUGGGUUUUCCAUGGUGAAGGAUUUUCCUCUAGAAUUACACCUCGUCAAAGCAAUAAUAAUGAAGGUUCUAACAUGUGUGAUGAUAUUGAUGGAUUACUUCAUGAUACAUUCAGAAAUGUAGAAGGUGAGCCGGUAUAAGAAGAAGGGAUGAGAGAGGCUCUAUCUGAAGAUGCUAAGAGAUUUUUCAAAUUAUUAGAGGAAGGAAAACAAUAAUUAUAUCCAGGGUGUGAAAACUUCAAUAAACUGAGUUUCACCAUCCGGUUGUACUUGUUUAAGUCUUUGCAUGAGUUGAGUAAUGUAGCCUUUUCAGACUUGUUAGAGUUGAUAAAAGAGGCAUUUCCCUUUGCUAAGCUGCCAGAGUCUUUCAACAAGGCUAAAAAUAUGAUAAAAGAUUUGGGUCUUCAUUAUGAUAAAUUACGUGCAUGCCCUAAUGAUUGCAUGCUAUUUUGGAAUGACAAUGCAAAGACCGAUAAUUGCUCUAUUUGUGGGUCUUCUAGAUGGAAACGUUCUAAUCGUGCCUUGACUAAUACAAGUUCUAAAGUUCCUGUAAAGGUUUUAAGGUACUUUCCCUUGAAGCCUAGGCUUCAGAGGAUAUUCAUGUGUCCUGAAACAGCUAUUGCAAUGAGAUGGCAUGCUAAUGAACGACCUAAUGAUGAGAAUUUGAGGCAACCCACUGAUGGAGAAGCUUGGAAGGAUUUUGAUUCUCUACAUCCUGACUUCUCCAAAGAUCCACGUAAUGUUAGGUUGGGUCUUUCAAGUGAUGGUUUCAACCCAUUUCGAACCAUGAGCAUUUCUCAUAGCACGUGACCUGUCAUGUUAAUGAACUAUAAUUUAUCACCAUGGAUUUGCAUGAAGCCAGAAUAUAUCAUGUUGUCAAUGAUCAUUCCAGGUCCUUCAUCUCUAGGAGAUGAUAUAGAUGUGUACUUACAACCACUUAUUUCAAAUUGAAGGAACUAUAGGAAACUGGGAUAGAAACAUAUGAUGCUAAGACAAAGCAAACAUUUCAAAUGCAUGCAGCCUUGUUGUGGACAAUUAGUAUGACAAUCCAGUUAGUCGUCUCACGAGUUAUCGCUUCGUUUCUCCCAUUUCUACUUCUAAUUGCUUUGUAUUAUGUUUUUAUAUCUGAUCGGGUUGAUUGGUUAGGGUUCGGAAAGGAUUUGAUAAGGAAUUGAGACAAUUAGUCUCUUUAGAGUGAGUUUAAGUUGGAAAAGUCAACUGGAUGUUGACUUGUGAGUUAGAGGGCUCGGAUUUGAAUUCCAAUGGUUCGGUUAGCUUUGGGAGGUGAUUUGGAACUUAGGAGCGCGAUCGGAAUGAGUUUUGGAGAUGUAGAGAAGAUUUAAGCUUGAAUUGACGAAGUUGAUAUUUUGGCAAUUUUCGGUUGGUAGGUGAAAUUUUGAUAUAGGAGUCGGAAUGGAAUUUCAAGAGUUACAGUAGCCCCGUCGUGUCAUUUGGGAUGUGUGUACAAAAUUUCAGGUCAUUUGGACGUGGUUUGGUUGAGUUUUUGAUCGAAAGCAGAAAUUGGAAGAUUUUGGAAAGUUUGGCUUGAAUCCGAUGUGUUUUGGGUGAUUUGAUGUUGUUUGAGGUAUUUUGAUGAUUGGAACAAGGUUGAAUAAGGUAUUAGGAUGUGUUCGUGCCUUUGGUUGAGGUCCUGGGGGACUCAGGUGAGUUUCGGGUGGUCAUUCGGAUCAUUUUGAAGUUGAAAAGAUUGCAGAAAUUGCAGGUUCAGCUGUUGCAGAACUUUGCCCUUCGCGAUCGCAUAGGGAGUCCUGCGAUCGCAUAGAAGUUUUGAGGAGGUCGUCCAGUGGUUCUUCAUGUUCGCGAAGGUUGGCUUGCGAUCCCAUAGAAUGGAGAGGUUAUUCAUCGCGAACGCGGGAAUGUGGUCGCGUUCGCAUAGAGUUAAAUGGACCUGGGGCUUAACUGGAUUUUUGAUCAUUGUGAACACGGAGGGAUGUCCGCGAUCGAUUAGGGUCAGUCGCCUGGGCAUCGCGUUCAUAGGGCUAUUGAUGCAUUCGCGUAAGAGAAAUUUUGGGAGCUGAAGAUUUGUUCUUCGCGAUCGCGAGGGAUGUUCCGCGAUCGCGAUGAAGGAAAAUAUGUCUGGGCAGAAGGUUUUUAAACUCGUCUUGUCCGCGAGGAUUGGGUUUAUUUCUUCCAUAGUGGAUCAUUUUUGAAGAUUUAUGAUGGAGAUUGAAGAGGGAUUCAAGGGGAAUCACUUGAAGGUAAGAAUCUCGGACUUAAAACUCGAUUAUUAUGUGAAAUCCACCUAGAAAAUGAUGGAAUUUAAGCUAAAAAUUGAAGAACUAGGGCUUGGAAAUUUGGACUUUUGAUUGGGGAUUUGGAGGACCAUUUGGGGUCGUAUAUGAGAACUUUUGAUAUGUAUGAACUCGUGGGGAGAUAAGGAACCCGAUGAUGUGAAAUUUCUGAAUUUCGAAACGUUGGCCCAGGGGUCGGGUUUUGGUAAUUUCGGGAUUUGUGCCCUUUAUGAUUAUUUUUGCUUGGGCUUCAUUCCCUUAGCAUAUUUUGACGUCCUAGUUCUGAUUUUGGAUAGAUUCGACGUGCGUGGAGGCUAAUUCGAGGGGUAAAGGCGUCACAAGCUAGAGAUUUAGCCGGUUUGAGAUGAGUAAUGAUUGUAAAUGAUGCUCUGAGGGUUUGAAACCCCGGAUUGCACAUCGUAGUGCUAUAUUGGAGUGAGACACACGCUCGAUGACGAGCGCGGGAUCGUGCACUAUUGGGGAUUGUGAUUUAGUCCAUCCCGAUUGAUGAUUUUACCGCGUAUUUGACUGAAAUCUAUUAGAUAUCAUCAUGAUUUGGGCUGAAUGCCAUAUUUGGGCCUUGUGCCAUCUAUUUGAGCCCUUCGGGGAUUUAUAUUAAUAUUUCCUCACCUUUUUUGAAUAUUUACUUGAAAUCAGUCAUGUUAUUUUACACUAUUUCCAUAUUCAGCCAUGUUUUACUCAGUUUUAACACUUAAAAGGAUAUUUUCAAUAAUGUUUGGGCUGAGAAACACUGUUUUAUUAUUGCCCGAACGACUUGUGAGGAUUUAUGACUGAGUAAGGCCAAGGGCCUAUAUUGUGAGAAAACACUGAUAUUGAUUUGGGCCGAGGGCCUAAGAUAUGUACACCACGAGGUGGCUUGAUAUUGAUAUGAGGCCGAGAGCCUAUUUAUGAUGCCACGAGAUGGCUUGUUAUUGCGCUUGGGCCAUAAGGGCCCCCUCCCAGAGUUUGUACACCCCCAGUGAGCGUGGGUACCCAUUGUGAUGUGAGAUUGAGCCCGAGGGGCUUGUAUUGUUCUGAGAUGUUGCCCGAGGGACAGUUUUAUUGAUACAGUGCCUGAGGGGCGAACCUUUACUUGUUUAUUUCUCCUUAACUGCCUGUCAAUUAAAUGCUUACUUGCUGAAAAAGGAUUUUUACUUAUCUUUUGACUGAUUUACUAUUUUUAAAUGAUGUUUUACUGUUUCAUUAAAAAAAAUUGUUGUGUGCCUAACGUGUUUUCUUACUUUCAGUCAUUAUUUACAUUUGUUACUCACUGAAUCGGAGUACUCACAUUACUCCCUGCACCCUAUGUGCAGAUUCAGGCGUAGCUGGUCCCGCUCCCGAGUGUUGAUCAUCUCCAGCUUCAGGCGGACAUUCGGAGUUCACGAGGUAGCUGCCUGGCAUCGUCAGCCCCGUGUCUCUACUCUUUAUCAUUUCUAUUUCCUUUCAGACAUUUGUACUGGUUUAUGGAUUUAGUCUACCUGUAUUUUUACUUAUAGAUGCUCAUGACUAGUGACACCCCGGUUAGGAUUGUGUAUGGAUGUUCUUCCGCAUAUUUAUGAUAUUAACUGCUAUUUCGGAUUUAUUUUAUCG
This 5701-nucleotide long non-coding RNA is filed under the name Nicotiana tabacum (common tobacco). Its description in RNAcentral is "long non-coding RNA (NTAB_LNC005222)". The record is from RNAcentral. Lineage: Eukaryota; Viridiplantae; Streptophyta; Magnoliopsida; Solanales; Solanaceae.